CAGUCGCCGCGGUAAUACGUAGGUGGCAAGCGUUGUCCGGAUUUAUUGGGCGUAAAGCGAGCGCAGGCGGUCAAUUAAGUCUGAUGUGAAAGCCCCCGGCUCAACCGGGGAGGGUCAUUGGAAACUGGUUGACUUGAGUGCAGAAGAGGAGAGUGGAAUUCCAUGUGUAGCGGUGAAAUGCGUGGAUAUAUGGAGGAACACCUGUGGCGAAGGCGACUCUCUGGUCUGUAACUGACGCUGAGGCUCGAAAGCGUGGGUAGCAAACAGGAUUAGAUACCCCUGUAGUCCCUGUCUCUUAUAC
RNAcentral lists this ribosomal RNA (301 nucleotides) under uncultured bacterium. RNAcentral describes it as "partial 16S ribosomal RNA". It matches the Rfam family "Bacterial small subunit ribosomal RNA", at positions 509 to 807 of the family's 1533-position model. The record is from RNAcentral.